GGCAGUUCUUGGGUGACACACCCCAGAACCAGAGAGGAGGGAGCCUGAUUCCAGGGUGCAUCACCCAAGAACUUCC
Myotis brandtii (Brandt's bat) is the source of this 76-nucleotide non-coding RNA. The record is from Rfam. NCBI's taxonomy places the organism in Eukaryota, Metazoa, Chordata, Mammalia, Chiroptera, Vespertilionidae.